CUUUAAAGAAUGCGUAAUAGCUCACUAAUCGAGCAAUCCAGCGCCUAAAAUGUACCGGAGCUAAGUUCAGCACCGAAGCUACGGGCUCGUAAGAGCGGUAGAGGAGCGUUCCUGCAGGAUUGAAGGUGUACCGUAAGGAGCACUGGACUUGCAGGAAGUGAGGAUGCAGGCAUGAGUAGCGAUAAUGCCGGUGAGAUUCCGGCACACCGUAAACCCAAGGGUUCCUCAGCAAGGCAACUCCGCUGAGGGUUAGUCGGCCCCUAAGACGUAGCCGAAUGGUGAUGUCGAUGGGAAACAGGUUUAUAUUCCUGUACUACGGUGGUGAGGUUAUACCGACGGGGUGACGCAGAAGGAUAGGAGAAAGGACAGAUGGUGUUCCUGAUAAGGUGGUAAGCUUUGAGGGUUGUUGGAAAAUCCGCAACCUGAGCCGAGAGCCAAUAUCGAUCUCAGUUUCGGCUGAGCGUAGUCUUCAAUUCCAUGCUGCCUAGAAAAACCUCUAAGGGACAAUCCACCGUAACCGUACUCUAAACUGACACAGGUGGGUGAGGAGAAUAUCCUAAGGUGCGCGAGAGAAAUCUGGUUAAGGAACUCGGCAAAUUGACCCCGUAACUUCGGGAGAAGGGGUGCCUCAUUAGUGUGAAAGUCCUGCGACUGGAGCAUGAAGAGGCCGAAGUGAAGAGCUCGCGGCGACUGUUUACCAAAAACAUAGGUCUCUGCUAACACGUAAGUGGAAGUAUAGGGACUGACACCUGCCCGGUGCUGGAAGGUUAAGGAGAGAUGUUAGUCUUCGGACGAAGCUUCGAACUGAAGCCCCAGUAAACGGCGGCCGUAACUAUGACGGUCCUAAGGUAGCGAAAUUCCUUGUCGGGUAAGUUCCGACCUGCACGAAUGGCGUAACGAUGGCCACACUGUCUCCACCCGAGACUCAGUGAAAUUGAAAUCGCGGUUAAGAUGCCGUGUACCCGCACUUAGACGGAAAGACCCCGUGAACCUUUACUAUAGCUUUGCACUGGACUUUGAAUUUGCUUGUGUAGGAUAGGUGGGAGGCUUUGAAGCUGAAGCGCCAGCUUUAGUGGAGCCAUCCUUGAAAUACCACCCUUACACGAUUGAAGAUCUAACCGGCGAACGCUGGGACAAUGUCAGGCGGGUAGUUUGACUGGGGCGGUCGCCUCCUAAAGAGUAACGGAGGCGUUCAAAGCUACACUCAAUAUGGUCAGAAACCAUAUGCAGAGCACAAAGGUAAAAGUGUGGUUGACUGCAAGACUUACAAGUCGAGCAGGUGCGAAAGCA
This 1290-nucleotide ribosomal RNA is filed under the name Elysia cornigera. RNAcentral's name for it is "bacterial LSU rRNA". It matches the Rfam family "Bacterial large subunit ribosomal RNA", at positions 1121 to 2407 of the family's 2925-position model. The record is from RNAcentral. Lineage: Eukaryota; Metazoa; Mollusca; Gastropoda; Plakobranchidae.